GAUGAACGCUGGCGGCGUGCCUAAUACAUGCAAGUCGAGCGAACGGACGAGAAGCUUGCUUCUUUGAUGUUAGCGGCGGACGGGUGAGUAACACGUGGAUAACCUACCUAUAAGACUGGGAUAACUUCGGGAAACCGGAGCUAAUACCGGAUAAUAUUUUGAACCGCAUGGUUCAAAAGUGAAAGACGGUCUUGCUGUCACUUAUAGCUGGUUCCGGGCUGCAUUAGGUAGUUGGUAAGUUAACGGCCUACCAAGGCAACGAUGCAUAGCCGACCUGAGAGGGUGAUCGGCCACACUGGAGCUGAGACACGGUCCAGACUCCUACGAGAGGCAGCAGUAGGGAAUCUUCCGCAGUAGGCGAGAGCCUGACGGAGCAACGCCGCGUGAGUGAUGAAGGUCUUCGGAUCGUAAAACUCUGUUAUUAGGGAAGAACAUAUGUGUAAGUAACUGUGCACAUCUUGACGGUACCUAAUCAGAAAGCCACGGCUAACUACGUG
Molecule: ribosomal RNA, 497 nt
Filed under: uncultured bacterium
Lineage: Bacteria
Description: partial 16S ribosomal RNA
Rfam family: Bacterial small subunit ribosomal RNA
Source: RNAcentral